GAGUUGUGAUCGCACCACUGCACGACAGCCUGGGCGAAAGAGUGAGAACCUGUCUCAAAAAAAAAAGAGAAUCUUCACAGGCAUCCCUUCCUCCCAAGUCUCCUCACUUGUCUUAUCUGAAGGUUUGUUCCCCAGAACUAUGAGAACCCUCUACAUCUCUUUCUCUCAGCCCAGCCAGGUUCCUCUGGGCUUGAGUCCUACAUCCCUGGCCUCAGCUACAAGGCAUGAGUUCCUGCUGUUCAUGAAACCAAUUGGAAAGUAAGGGGCACUACUGCACUGAUAAUCUUGGCUCCUUGCUCAAAGGCACGGAGAACCACCUCUCCCUAACCUGCAAUGUGGGAAAUGUCUCACAUACUAUAUGGGAGACUGCAGAGAAGAAAGGGGUCACCAGAACAAUAAACCCAAACAGGAUAUACAAUGGAAUGUACGCUAUGAUUACAACUCUGCUAAAAUAUAUCUGCCAGUGGACUAGCCCAGGAAACGAACAAGCAAAAGUGAAAGCAACUGCAUGAUUCAGCGUUUGUCUCUUCCAGAAUCGAAGCUGCAAAGCUACAAAUGGUUCUUCAAAUGGAGCCCCAGAUGCAAUCCAUGAGUAAAAUCUACCACGGACCCCUGGACCGGCCUGCUAGCCCAUGCUCCAAUGUUAAUGACAUCAAAGGCACCCCUCCCGAGGAAAUCUCAACUGCAGAACCCCUACUACGCCCCAAUUCAGCAGGAAGCAGUUAGAGCGGUGGUCGGCCAACUUCCCCAAUAGCACUUGGGUUUUCCUGUUGAGGGGGGCACUGAGAGACAGGACUAGCUGGAUUUCCUAGGCUGACUAAAAAUCC
RNAcentral lists this long non-coding RNA (827 nucleotides) under Homo sapiens (human). RNAcentral describes it as "HSALNT0389464". Lineage: Eukaryota; Metazoa; Chordata; Mammalia; Primates; Hominidae. The record is from RNAcentral.